CACCGCCACCGCUACUCCCUCCAUCACGCGCCGCCGUCGCUCCCCGCGCCACCGCCACGUCGCGGCACGCAGCUGCUCCCCGCACCGGCCGCUGACCCCGUGCCGCCGCUAGCCGCUAAGAUCCGAGGGAGGGAGAGGGAAUUGCCGGGGGAGGAGAGGGGGAGGGAUCUGGCCGGGGGAGGAGAGGGAGAGCCAGGUGAGCGAGUGGGAGAGCGAGGUAGAGAGGGCAAAGGGGAUUGAGCGGAUGGGGGAGGAAAGGGAGAGGAUAAGGAUAGAGAGAGGGGGGCCGGGGGUGGCCGGUUGAGGGAGGCGCGUGUGAGGGUGUGGUCUCGGGACUUAACUUAUUUGGAUCAUUUUUUCAGGUCCGCUUCCUCUAUCAUCGCCAGUUGGUGUUAAAAUUCGGCACCCCAACCGACGGUGAUAUGAAUGUAUCACUGCCGGUUUAUUGCUAAAAUCGUUAUCGAUGUUAUUUUUUCCUACCACUCGACUAUUACAGCUGGUUUUAUUUAAUAGGCCGGCAGUGAUGAUACAUUCUGUAGCAGAUACAUUCUGUAGCAGGCGUGUCACUAGCUGACCUGAUUUAGUAUUGCGAGCUGUGGCUUCC
Molecule: long non-coding RNA, 604 nt
Filed under: Setaria viridis
Lineage: Eukaryota; Viridiplantae; Streptophyta; Magnoliopsida; Poales; Poaceae
Description: long non-coding RNA (SVIR_LNC000625)
Source: RNAcentral